This 486-nucleotide ribosomal RNA is filed under the name uncultured bacterium. RNAcentral's name for it is "partial 16S ribosomal RNA". It matches the Rfam family "Bacterial small subunit ribosomal RNA", at positions 30 to 507 of the family's 1533-position model. The record is from RNAcentral.
AUUGAACGCUGGCGGCAUGCCUUACACAUGCAAGUCGAACGGCAGCACGGGUGCUUGCACCUGGUGGCGAGUGGCGAACGGGUGAGUAAUACAUCGGAACAUGUCCUGUAGUGGGGGAUAGCCCGGCGAAAGCCGGAUUAAUACCGCAUACGAUCUACGGAUGAAAGCGGGGGACCUUCGGGCCUCGCGCUAUAGGGUUGGCCGAUGGCUGAUUAGCUAGUUGGUGGGGUAAAGGCCUACCAAGGCGACGAUCAGUAGCUGGUCUGAGAGGACGACCAGCCACACUGGAACUGAGACACGGCCCAGACUCCUACGGGAGGCAGCAGUGGGGAAUUUUGGACAAUGGGCGAAAGCCUGAUCCAGCAAUGCCGCGUGUGGGAAGAAGGCCUUCGGGUUGUAAAGCACUUUUGUCCGGAAAGAAAUCCUUGGCCCUAAUACGGUCGGGGGAUGACGGUACCGGAAGAAUAAGCACCGGCUAACUACGUG